AAAAAAUAUUCAUAGCCUAUUAGGUAUAGCUAUAUAAUCGACUAAUAGAUGAUCUUCAUUUCAUAAGGACGUGUCUGCAGAGAACGCAUCUCAAUAUAACUUCACUGGACAGGCAAUUGAAACAAACAAUGAUGAAAAACCUCUUUAUUCUCGGUUUUGUUAUGGUAACAUGCUUUUCAAUGUCUGUAUCUGCUACAGAAUAUCAGUGUCCAUCAUGCCCUUACUUUCAGUGGUAUAUUGACUCAUGUCCAGAGCUAUGUAAGGUGGACUGCUUUGUGGACCCGUGUCAGUUUGAACAAUGUGACGGCGCAGUGUGUGAAGCUUUUUAUUGUGGAGGGUGCCAGGCUUGCUUCUACGAAAACGGGAUCCUGGUAAAUGAUUGCCCCUAAUAUUAGUUGAAUAAAAUUGAA
Molecule: long non-coding RNA, 410 nt
Organism: Styela clava
Lineage: Eukaryota; Metazoa; Chordata; Ascidiacea; Stolidobranchia; Styelidae
Source: RefSeq, a predicted model, not a curated record